Molecule: ribosomal RNA, 445 nt
Filed under: uncultured bacterium
Lineage: Bacteria
Description: partial 16S ribosomal RNA
Rfam family: Bacterial small subunit ribosomal RNA
Source: RNAcentral
GUGAGGAAUAUUGGACAAUGGGCGCAAGCCUGAUCCAGCCAUGCCGCGUGCAGGAAGACGCAUCUAUGGUGUGUAAACUGCUUUUGUACGGGAAGAAACACUCCCUCGUGAGGGAGCUUGACGGUACCGUAAGAAUAAGGAUCGGCUAACUCCGUGCCAGCAGCCGCGGUAAUACGGAGGAUCCAAGCGUUAUCCGGAAUCCUUGGGUUUAAAGGGUCCGUAGGCGGUUUAAUAAGUCAGUGGUGAAAGCCCAUCGCUCAACGAUGGAACGGCCAUUGAUACUGUUAGACUUGAAUUACAAGGAAGUAACUAGAAUAUGUAGUGUAGCGGUGAAAUGCUUAGAUAUUACAUGGAAUACCAAUUGCGAAGGCAGGUUACUACUUGUGGAUUGACGCUGAUGGACGAAAGCGUGGGGAGCGAACAGGAUUAGAAACCCUUGUAGUCC